Molecule: RNase P RNA, 360 nt
Filed under: Actinomycetota bacterium
Lineage: Bacteria; Bacillati; Actinomycetota
Description: RNase P RNA component class A
Rfam family: Bacterial RNase P class A
About the family: Ribonuclease P (RNase P) is a ubiquitous endoribonuclease, found in archaea, bacteria and eukarya as well as chloroplasts and mitochondria. Its best characterised activity is the generation of mature 5'-ends of tRNAs by cleaving the 5'-leader elements of precursor-tRNAs.
Source: RNAcentral
UGAGUUGGCCGGGUGACCGCGGCAUGGCACUUCGGUGACCGUGUCGAGGAAAGUCGGGACUCCACAGGGCAGAGUGCUGGCGCGAGCCAGGUCGGGGUGACCUGACGGAUAGUGCAACAGAGAGAGACCGCCGAUGGGCCAGUUCGCUGGCCACAGGCAAGGGUGCAACGGUGCGGUAAGAGCGCACCAGCGUGCGGGGCGACCAGCACGGCUGGCAAACCCCACUCGGAGCAAGGCCAAGCAGAGAGGAUGGGCUGCCCGUCCAGCCGGUUCGCCGGCUACCUCUCGGGUAGGCCGCCUAGAGGGAUGGUCACCGGCGCUUCGGCGUCACAGAAUCCCGCUUACAGGCCGACUCACCAU